UUGAAGUUGCCAGAACUUUGGGGGAGAGUGACCAUGUCAUAUUGGAAUUCAACAGAAUGCAAACAUAAACAAUAGAACAUAAUAAAACCAGUGUCUUAGACUUUAAAAGAGCUAAUUUUAACAAACUUAGAGAGAGCUUGGGAAAAAUUCCAUGGAUGAAAAUUUUAAAGGGGAAAUCAAUUCAAGAACAUAGGACACUGAA
Non-coding RNA from Notechis scutatus (mainland tiger snake), 202 nucleotides. Lineage: Eukaryota; Metazoa; Chordata; Lepidosauria; Squamata; Elapidae. The record is from RefSeq and is a predicted model, not a curated record.